GAUGAACGCUGGCGGCGUGCCUAAUACAUGCAAGUCGAACGAAACUUCUUUAUCACCGAGUGCUUGCACUCAUCGAUAAAGAGUUGAGUGGCGAACGGGUGAGUAACACGUGGGCAACCUGCCCAAAAGAGGGGGAUAAUACUCGGAAACAGGUUCUAACACCGCAUAACCAUAGUUCCCGCAUUGAAACUAUGUAAAAGGUGGCAAUCCUACCGCUUUUGGAUGGGUACCCGGCGCAUUAGCUAGUUGGUCGGGUAAAGGCUUAACAUGGCAAUGAUGCGUAGCGGAAUUGAGAGGGUGAUCGGCCACAUUGGCACUGAGACACGGCACAAACUCCGACGGGAGGCAGCAGUAGGGAAUCUUCCACAAUGGGCGAAAGCCUGAUGGAGCAACACCGCGUGGGUGAAGAAGGUCUUCGGAUGGUAAAGCCCUGUUGUUAGAGAAGAAAGAAAGUGAGUUUAACUGUUCACGUUAUGACGGUACCUAACCAGUAAGCCACGGCUAACUACGUG
RNAcentral lists this ribosomal RNA (512 nucleotides) under uncultured bacterium. RNAcentral describes it as "partial 16S ribosomal RNA". It matches the Rfam family "Bacterial small subunit ribosomal RNA", at positions 28 to 507 of the family's 1533-position model. The record is from RNAcentral.